CCCCGUGGAGGGAGGGAACGCGGGUGCGAGUUCUGGCUGCGGGGACGGGAGCCUGCAGUCAGACCCCUCCGCCUCCACCAGCCCCAGGCUGCGCCCCUGCACCUGCUCCUCCCUCAGGUCAAGGUCAGCACCCACGGAGCAGCGGCCCCAUGCCAGCCGCCCCCAGGGCCCCUUCCCGGUGCUGUCUGCCCCAGCCCCCCCCCCCCUUCGCCGACCCAUGACAAUCCCUUAAGCCAGGGCACCGCCAGGUGCGGCUGGCCCAGGCUGUGGGGCAGGUAAGGGGGACGGGAAGGCCCCUGUCCUCACCAACCCCUUGUUGGACUCAGGACCUGGCCCCAGCCUGGGAACAGCUGCUAAGCUGUGGGCAUGAGGGUAGGUGAGCCAGACAGUCCCAACCAAGUUCAGUGGCUCAGGUCUAUGAGGAAGCCAGGAUGGGACCACUAGGGUGGGGUGGCCUGGGCGGAGCCCCUAGGGUGGGGCCACCGGGAUGGCGCCUCCAGGAUGGAGUCCUCCAGGGGAGACCGCUCUGCCCACAGUCCUGCUUCCUCCCCUGCCGGGCCAGCUGGCCCCUCAAGGCCUGCAUCUGAGCCGUCCUGGUUCUGCGGAAACCUGCUGUGCGACUGCGGUGCUGUCCCUUCCCCUUUUCCAGGAGACCCAGAGGCAGCCCCUCCUCCCCUGCCCCGUCCACGCUGUGCACACGGCCAUCAGCACCUGCGUAGCCUCCUGGCACCCCUGCUCCCCACUCAGUCCGUUGCCAUCAGAGCCCCGCGGGGUCUGGUCAGCACCUCCAUCAGCUCACGUCCAUCCAAAGCUCUCCAGCGGCCCCCCAGGUCCCGGCAGAGCCGUGGGAAGCCCUACGAGCCAGCCUGGGCCCCUCUCCUGGCCCCCUGCUGUCCUGCCACACGCUGGGCUCUGGCGCUUUCACAGGUAGGGGACACCGGGCUGUGGAAUGAGGGGCACAGCCCCUUUCUUGCUGAGUGCUGCCAGCUGAAGGCCCCUCCCUGCUUCUCCCCAGAGUCACUCUCCUGGGAAGCAGUUGGGACAGUAAUGGGUGGUGGCUUGGGGAGUUCGAGGAUGCUCCCCGGGGGAUGCGGGUCAGCGAGGACCUAGAGCCUCCAUUACUGCUCAGAGCACAGGUGGGUCCGGCUGGACCUGGGGGCGCAGGACGAUGGCAGGGCAGUCACGUGCCGGGACCCAAGUCAGUGGCUCGGGGGACGGGGGGGUCCCUGGGAUCCACCUGAGGCCCCAGGUCCCGGGAACUCUAACCAAAUGCAGUGCCGGCGUCUGAAAGGGGUCCCUGCUCGCUCAUGGGACGGUCCCUGCGAUCUUCCUGCAGUGCCCAGGCUCCGGGCUGUGGCUGGCCUCAGGCCCUGACACCUGUGCAGGUGCUCAGGGGAACCUACCCCUGCUCCCCGAAACCCAGGCCAAGAGCCCCAGGACCACGCAGCUGCCCAAGCCCCGGCGCUCCCACGGGAGGUGGGCUGCGUCCUCCUCUUCCCGGGACCAUGACCCUGGGAGAAGCCCCGCUUCUGCAGACUCACAGCAGCUGCGAUGCUCAGAAAAGAUGCCAUGUCACCAUCACGGGACUGAGGACCCCUCCCUGGGCAUCUGUCUGGUGCCCAAAGCAUCACGUUAGACACGGCUGUUUGUGGGAGGGGGUUCCCGAAGCCCUGCGGGGGGCGGGGGCCGCACGGCAGGGUGAGCCGGUGGCCGGUGAGGUCUUGGGGUCCCGCCUCACCUCACACCCGGGGCAGAGAGCCCAGCAUCCCAGGGAAGCGGCGGGGGAGCUGGUGUCUGUGCUCUGGGGCGGCCGCUGGGUCGGGUGGGCUGAUGCCAUUCUGCUUGUUUGAAUGGGACACGGUGCUCCUGUUGCGACAGCAGGCCCUGCAAGAGUGGGCUUCAGUUCAGGACCCGGAGUGUUCCUCAGCUGCAUGCUUGGCCCCCCAGCCCCUGUGAGCUGCUCCCCUGGCCGAGUGGGGCUGACUCGUCCACCUCCCGGGCUGGGGGGCUGAGGGAGCCCCCGCCUGGCGCCCCCGGGGCCGCCCCGGCCUGCCCGUCGUGUCCCUGUCCCGUCCCUGUCCCCGGGAGCCCCUCUCCUGCCCCUGGUGGGCCGGCCCCUCUCGCCGCCUCCCCCUGCUCCUGCCAAACCAGGAGCCUGCAUGCAGCACGGGUCGGCUCCUCCCUGGUGCUUUGUUCUGUUCACUGUCGAGCAAAUGUCAAGGAAGAAUUUAAAUGAGGGGCAAGUCUCAAAGGUUGUGUUUCUGGCGGUGUUUCAGGACACUUGUAAUGAGGGGCACAGCCAAGGCCUGUCCCGGGCUCUAGAGGCAAAGGCAGACGAGAUGGAGCCUGUGCCUCGUGUCGCGGGGACCGAGGGUUGGUGGACGGGCUGCGCCUGUGGUGUCUGCUGGGUCCCCCCUGGUGGCCGGCGACCAGCCAGGCUGCCCCUCUGAGCUCCGGAACCGGGAGUGAGGUCCGACUGAGGCAGCUGGCCCCACCUGGCUCGGCCCCAACGGUCGCCCCGGCCUGUCCCUGCCCUCGCUGACCCCUCCGAGUGGGUCCCGUCACUCCACUCUGGGCUGUGCUGUCCAGCCUCGGGGCACUGCACUCCCCUUCUCCAUCCUGCAGGACACCCCCGCACUCACUGUUUGGGGUUGGUGGGGUGGUCAGUGCCCCGAUCCUGCCCAGGACCCCGGCACUGAGACCAGCCAGAGAAAACCCCGGGUCCUGAGUCCCUAGGCGCAGAGGCUGGGAGCAGGACAUAGACAGUCAGCGUCGAUACUCACCAGCUCAGCUUGGCGUGUGUGACCUUGUGAGUCCUUACAUCCCAUGGGGCGGCCCUGACAGUCAUCCCCACCUGACACGCCUAGGGGCCUGGUCUAAGGCCACAGGAGAGGGCAGGCAGGAUAGGUGAUCACAGCACGGCAGCGGGGAGCCCUUCCAGUCCGUCUGCGGCCUGAGGGCUGGCUGGGGAGGUUCCCGUAUGCAGCUGGAGCUCCAUUAAUGCUCCUGGACUGAAGCCUCUUCCCAGGCUUCUCCACAGAUACCAGGGCCCACGGUUCUGGAAGCCGCGGGGCGGGGGGAGCUGGUCGUCCCAGCCUGAGGCUCUCGCCCAGUGACGUGCGGGGCAGGGCAUUCGUGGCAUCCCUCCAGCCAGCGAGGAGAAGGCUGUGACCCCGAUUUACAGAUGACACCAGAGCCUGGGCCACUUCGGGGAGGGCAGUGCCGUCCUUGCUGGGCAAGGGCGCCGGUGAGCGAUGGGGAGGGGGCUGGGCGCAGCCUGGAGUGGGUGGCCG
RNAcentral lists this long non-coding RNA (3293 nucleotides) under Canis lupus familiaris (dog). Its description in RNAcentral is "lncRNA (ENSCAFG00845013609.1)". Lineage: Eukaryota; Metazoa; Chordata; Mammalia; Carnivora; Canidae. The record is from RNAcentral.